AUUGAACGCUAGCGGGAUGCUUUACACAUGCAAGUCGAACGGCAGCGCGGACUUCGGUCUGGCGGCGAGUGGCGAACGGGUGAGUAAUGUAUCGGAACGUGCCCAGUAGCGGGGGAUAACUACGCGAAAGCGUAGCUAAUACCGCAUACGCCCUACGGGGGAAAGCAGGGGAUCGUAAGACCUUGCACUAUUGGAGCGGCCGUUGUCGGGUUAGCUAGUUGGUGAGGCAACGGCGUACCAAGGCGACGAUCCGUAGCAGGCCUGAGAGGGCGACCGGCCACACUGGAACUGAGACACGGUCCAGACUCCUACGGGAGGCAGCAGUAGGGAAUCUGCCGCAAUGGGCGAAAGCCGGACGGAGCAACGCCGCGGGAGGGAUGAAGGGCUUCGGAUCGUAAAACUCUGUUAUUAGGGAAGAACAAAUGGGUAAGUAACUAUGCACGUCUUGACGGUACCUAAGCAGAAAGCCACGGCUAACCACGUG
RNAcentral lists this ribosomal RNA (484 nucleotides) under uncultured bacterium. Its description in RNAcentral is "partial 16S ribosomal RNA". It matches the Rfam family "Bacterial small subunit ribosomal RNA", at positions 29 to 507 of the family's 1533-position model. The record is from RNAcentral.